UUUAAGUGUUAAUCAUUAAGAGUGUGUUUCUCUUGUUUGAUUUAUCUUUUGAUUCUCAAGAUUAUCUUGGAAAAUUCUCUAUUUGGUUUAUGCAUUUCAUAAUUCACCAUAAUUCCCCUCCCUCUCUUGUGUUUGGAUUUACUCUUUCAACAAGUGGUAUUAGAGGCUAACUCCUAGUAAAUACUAAGCAUCCCAAGAGGAAGGAAAUGACUUCAAACGAUUAAUUUAACAAACCCUCAUCCUUUAAUGGAGAUGGGUAUGCUUUGUGGAAAGAGAAU
This 278-nucleotide long non-coding RNA is filed under the name Lathyrus oleraceus (garden pea). Its description in RNAcentral is "Pisum sativum (pea) long non-coding RNA (PSAT_LNC016866)". The record is from RNAcentral. Lineage: Eukaryota; Viridiplantae; Streptophyta; Magnoliopsida; Fabales; Fabaceae.